UCCCUCUCAGGGUCGCACCUGGAGAGUUUCCAGAACCCUCCCAGUCUUGGCUACGGGAGGGAGAAUCAAGCAGAGGCCUACCCAUUCCAUUCCUGGCUUGCCCAGUGGCUAGCGAGUGGACGGAAAACUGCUACAAGU
Molecule: small nucleolar RNA, 138 nt
Organism: Ornithorhynchus anatinus (platypus)
Lineage: Eukaryota; Metazoa; Chordata; Mammalia; Monotremata; Ornithorhynchidae
Source: RefSeq, a predicted model, not a curated record